CAGUGGGCAAUUUUGGAGAAUGGGCGCAAGCCUGAUCCAGCCAUGCCGCGUGCAGGAUGAAGGCCUUCGGGUUGUAAACUGCUUUUGUACGGAACGAAAAGGUGCCUUCUAAUAAAGGGCGCUCAUGACGGUACCGUAAGAAUAAGCACCGGCUAACUACGUGCCAGCAGCCGCGGUAAU
This 180-nucleotide ribosomal RNA is filed under the name uncultured bacterium. RNAcentral describes it as "partial 16S ribosomal RNA". It matches the Rfam family "Bacterial small subunit ribosomal RNA", at positions 352 to 524 of the family's 1533-position model. The record is from RNAcentral.